Molecule: ribosomal RNA, 477 nt
Filed under: uncultured bacterium
Lineage: Bacteria
Description: bacterial SSU rRNA
Rfam family: Bacterial small subunit ribosomal RNA
Source: RNAcentral
UGACAGUACUCCUACGGGGAGGCAGCAGUGGGGGAAUAUUGUACAAUGGGCGCAAGCCUGAUGCAGCCAUGCCGCGUGUGUGAAGAAGGACCUUCGGGUUGUAAAGCACUUUCAGUCGUGAGGAAGGUAGUGUAGUUAAUAGCUGCAUUAUUUGACGUUAGCGACAGAAGAAGCACCGGCUAACUCCGUGCCAGCAGCCGCGGUAAUACGGAGGGUGCGAGCGUUAAUCGGAAUUACUGGGCGUAAAGCGCAUGCAGGUGGUUUGUUAAGUCAGAUGUGAAAGCCCGGGGCUCAACCUCGGAAUAGCAUUUGAAACUGGCAGACUAGAGUACUGUAGAGGGGGGUAGGAAUUUCAGGUGUAGCGGUGAAAUGCGUAGAGAUCUGAAGGAAUACCGGUGGCGAAGGCGGCCCCCUGGACAGAUACUGACACUCAGAUGCGAAAGCGUGGGGAGCAAACAGGAUUAGAUACCCUGGUAG